Bufo gargarizans (Asiatic toad) is the source of this 429-nucleotide long non-coding RNA. RefSeq lists it as uncharacterized. The record is from RefSeq and is a predicted model, not a curated record. The transcript is spliced from 4 exons. Lineage: Eukaryota; Metazoa; Chordata; Amphibia; Anura; Bufonidae.
GAUCACAUGACUGUGACAUCAUCACAGGUCCUGUAGCCACAGAACAACUGCACUGCUUCUCUACAGCUGGAGGUUCCUACAAUAUAAAAUCAUCUCUAGUGCUAUCUUCUAUAUAAGAAAACUUUCUUUACUGACCCAUCAAGGAUGUAUAGGAACAGAGACAAGAUGGUCGAAGGAAUAAUAAAUCUCACCCUAGAGAUACUCUUCCAACUUACUGGAGAGGAUUACAUAUUAGUGAAGAAGACUUCUAGUGAGCGCUGUCAGACCCAUGUGUCCGAAGAAUGGAACCCAAUCAAAGGGCCUCCCCCUCACCCCUUGAUUCUUGAGCAGAAGAUCCUAGAACUCACCCAAAAGAUGAUUGAGCUGCUGACUGGAGAGGUUCCUAUAAGGUGUCAGGAUGUCACUGUCCAUUUCUCCAUGGAGGAGUGG